This 496-nucleotide ribosomal RNA is filed under the name uncultured bacterium. Its description in RNAcentral is "partial 16S ribosomal RNA". It matches the Rfam family "Bacterial small subunit ribosomal RNA", at positions 29 to 523 of the family's 1533-position model. The record is from RNAcentral.
AUUGAACGCUGGCGGCAUGCUUUACACAUGCAAGUCGAACGGUAGAGGGGGCAACCCCUUGAGAGUGGCGAACGGGUGAGUAAUGCAUCGGAACGUGCCCAGUCGUGGGGGAUAACGCAGCGAAAGCUGUGCUAAUACCGCAUACGAUCUCUGGAUGAAAGCGGGGGACCGAAAGGCCUCGCGCGAUUGGAGCGGCCGAUGUCAGAUUAGGUAGUUGGUGGGGUAAAGGCCUACCAAGCCAACGAUCUGUAGCUGGUCUGAGAAGACGACCAGCCACACGGGGACUGAGACACGGCCCAGACUCCUACGGGAGGAAGCAGUGGGGAAUUUUGGACAAUGGGCGCAGGCCUGAUCCAGCAAUGCCGCGUGCAGGAAGAAGGCCUUCGGGUUGUAAACUGCUUUUGUACGGAACGAAACGGUCUGGGUUAAUACCCUGGGCUAAUGACGGUACCGUAAGAAUAAGCACCGGCUAACUACGUGCCAGCCGCCGCGGUAA